GACGCGCUCAAUUCCUUGCAGGGCCGCCAGCGCCGAGCGCACGCUGCCCGCGCAGGGAACGGGCAGAGCCGCCCGAGGCCUCACAAGGGGCCGUGAUGGGGCCGGCGCUGAAGGGACACGGCCCAGCGACCCCAGGAACAGGGGACCGGCCCAGCGACAGCCACUGCGGCACACAGAGCCGGGCAGGGCUGGGAAAGCCCGCAGCCAACACUCACCGCUUUCUUCAUGGUGGCGGCCAUGUUGGCAGGGCCGAACUAUUCGCCCUCCCCGCAGAGGAGGAGGCCCGCGUGGAGAACGCGAAGAAAAACGGUGACAGCGCGCAGCGGCGACCACGCGAGGCGGCUCGAGGCUUCCGUUGAUCCUCCAUCACCACCUGCAGAGAGGCCAUCUGCCCAGGGCCCUUUUAGGUACUGGAAGGCCACUGGAAGGUCUCUCAGGAGCCUUCUCCUGAACUCCCUCAGCCUAUCUUCAUGGCAGUGGUUCUCCAACCCUCUCAGCAUCCUUGUGGACUCCUCCUGACCCACUCCAACAGACCCAUGUCUUUCUUACACUGAUAAACCUAGAGCUGAACGCUCUUCCUGCAAUCGGUCCUUGUUGGAAAGAGCUAGAAUGCAGCACGCUCCAUUCAAGUUUUAGCACAUGUACCGUACUCCUUCAGCCUUGGCUUUGUCCUUCAUAGGAAAUGGUAUAGCAGUCCUAUUGCUUGCAAGCAAGAAUGGAAAGUUUGGGUUCCUGCUUUAUCAGUAAUGCACAUGGAGCUGAUUUUUGUAUUUUACUUUGUUUCAUAAGUUUGACUUGUUCCCACUGAGGAAGAAAAGAAUCUCAAAAGUUCUCCCUGGAGAUCUUUGUUAAUAAUGACAUGUUAUGUGAAAACAUAAUCCUAAUUCAUGGGUUUCUCUUUUUCUCAAAGAACAGACUCUUAUUUCUCAGGCUGUUCUGCUCUUCCCUUAAUCAGUUAUCUUCUAUCCUUUUAAAAAGCCCACUCUGAAAGGAUAUAAUCCAAACCAUGGUUAUUUCCACGGGUAGAUUAACUGAAUGAUACAUGUUAGAUCCAAGCCAAUGCAAUUUCCUUCAAGAGAAAAGGAGUGGAUUUCAUAAGAAUUUGAUGACUUGUAGGCUUUGAAAAUAUUUUUUUUGUUCUCCCACAUGCUCAGACAAGAUCUGUGCUGUGAGCAUGUUGCCAAGAGUUACUGUAGACCUUUAUUAUGUAAAUAAAAGUGAAAACAGUGCACGAGUGCAAACAUCUAGUGGUGGAGUAAUAUAAACUCAUUGAACUCAGUGACCUCGUUUCUUUUUCAGUUGCAUAAAAGGACUUGAUCUUUCUUGUGCUGGUCUUCAUUGCAGUGAGCAUGGUUGGCUUCACCUUGCUUUUUGGUGGGAGCCCUUCUGUGGUGUGUGUAACCCCCACACCCGUCACCUCAUGUCCUCUCUGUAGUGCUUUGUCACGUUUCCCCUUCACGUUACUUGCUGUAGCCUUUUGCAAUACAGCUUAGCAUAAAAGAGUCUUCCCAUGCUC
Molecule: long non-coding RNA, 1516 nt
Organism: Gallus gallus (chicken)
Lineage: Eukaryota; Metazoa; Chordata; Aves; Galliformes; Phasianidae
Exons: 2
Source: RefSeq, a predicted model, not a curated record